UUCCGGUUGAUCCUGCCGGACCUGACUGCUAUCGGAUUGAUACUAAGCCAUGCGAGUCUUUGCAGUAACACAAGGCGGACUGCUCUGUAACACGUAGUCAACUUAACCUAUGGAUGGGUAUAACCUCGGGAAACUGAGAAUAAUUCCCAAUAGAUCAUUUAUCCUGGAAUGGUUGAUGAUUGAAAUGAUUCGUCGCCAUAGGAUGGGACUGCGGCCUAUCAGCUUGUUGGUGAGGUAAAGGCCCACCAAGGCUAUUACGGGUACGGGCUCUGAGAGGAGAAGCCCGGAGAUGGGUUCUGAGACACGGACCCAGGCCCUAUGGGGCGCAGCAGGCGAGAAAACUUUGCAAUGUGCGAAAGCACGACAAGGUUAAUCCGAGUGAUUUCUGCUAAAGAAAUCUUCUGCCAGUUCUAAAAAUACUGGUGAAUAAGGGGUGGGCAAGUCCUGGUGUCAGCCGCCGCGGUAAAACCAGCACCUCAAGUUGUCAGGAGGGUUAUUGGGCCUAAAGCAUCCGUAGCCGGCUCUGUGAGUUCUCGGUUAAAUCCAUUUGCUCAACAUAUGGGCUGUCGGAAAUACUGCAGAGCUAGGGAAUGGGAGAGGUAGACGGUACUCGGUAGGAAGGGGUAAAAUCCUUUGAUCUAUCGAUGACCACCUGUGGCGAAGGCGGUCUACCAGAACAUGUUCGACGGUGAGGGAUGAAAGCUGGGGGAGCAAACCGGAUUGGAUACCCGGGUAGUCCCAGCUGUAAACGAUGCAGACUAGAUGAUGCAUUAGCAUAUAGCUAGUGCAGUGUCUCAGGGAAGCCGUUAAGUCUGCCGCCUGGGAAGUACGUACGCAAGUAUGAAACUUAAAGGAAUUGGCGGGG
Molecule: ribosomal RNA, 865 nt
Filed under: uncultured archaeon
Lineage: Archaea
Description: bacterial SSU rRNA
Rfam family: Archaeal small subunit ribosomal RNA
Source: RNAcentral